GGAUGACGUCAAGUCAUCAUGGCCCUUACGACCAGGGCUACACACGUGCUACAAUGGCGCAUACAAAGAGAAGCGACCUCGCGAGAGCAAGCGGACCUCAUUAAGUGCGUCGUAGUCCGGAGUGGAGUCUGCAACUCGACUCCAGAAGUCGGAAUCGCUAGUAAUCGUGGAUCAGAAUGCCACGGUGAAUACGUUCCCGGGCCUUGUACACACCGCCCGUCACACCAUGGGAGUGGGUUGCA
RNAcentral lists this ribosomal RNA (242 nucleotides) under uncultured Gammaproteobacteria bacterium. RNAcentral's name for it is "partial 16S ribosomal RNA". It matches the Rfam family "Bacterial small subunit ribosomal RNA", at positions 1177 to 1419 of the family's 1533-position model. The record is from RNAcentral. Lineage: Bacteria; Pseudomonadati; Pseudomonadota; Gammaproteobacteria.